ACGGAGGGUGCGAGCGUUGUCCGGAAUCAUUGGGCGUAAAGGGCGCGUAGGUGGCCCGGUCAGUUCGUGGUGAAAGCGCGGGGCUCAACCCUGCGUCGGCCAUGAAUACUGCCGCGGCUGGAGCACUGUAGAGGCAGGCGGAAUUCCGGGUGUAGCGGUGGAAUGCGUAGAGAUCCGGAAGAACACCGGUGGCGAAGGCGGCCUGCUGGGCAGUUGCUGACACUGAGGCGCGACAGCGUGGGGAGCAAACAGGA
This 254-nucleotide ribosomal RNA is filed under the name uncultured prokaryote. Its description in RNAcentral is "partial 16S ribosomal RNA". It matches the Rfam family "Bacterial small subunit ribosomal RNA", at positions 525 to 777 of the family's 1533-position model. The record is from RNAcentral.